Molecule: ribosomal RNA, 562 nt
Filed under: Anaplasma phagocytophilum
Lineage: Bacteria; Pseudomonadati; Pseudomonadota; Alphaproteobacteria; Rickettsiales; Anaplasmataceae
Description: bacterial SSU rRNA
Rfam family: Bacterial small subunit ribosomal RNA
Source: RNAcentral
UAAAACUCAAAAGAAUUGACGGGGACCCGCACAAGCGGUGGAGCAUGUGGUUUAAUUCGAUGCAACGCGAAAAACCUUACCACUCCUUGACAUGGAGAUUAGAUCCUUCUUAACGGAAGGGCGCAGUUCGGCUGGAUCUCGCACAGGUGCUGCAUGGCUGUCGUCAGCUCGUGUCGUGAGAUGUUGGGUUAAGUCCCGCAACGAGCGUAACCCUCAUCCUUAGUUGCCAGCGGGUAAUGCCGGGCACUUUAAGGAAACUGCCGGUGGUAAACUGGAGGAAGGUGGGGAUGAUGUCAAGUCAGCACGGCCCUUAUGGGGUGGGCUACACACGUGCUACAAUGGUGACUACAAUAGGUUGCAAUGUCGCAAGGCUGAGCUAAUCCGUAAAAGUCAUCUCAGUUCGGAUUGUCCUCUGCAACUCGAGGGCAUGAAGUCGGAAUCGCUAGUAAUCGUGGAUCAGCAUGCCACGGUGAAUACGUUCUCGGGUCUUGUACACACUGCCCGUCACGCCAUGGGAAUUGGCUUAACUCGAAGCUGGUGCGCUAACCGAAAGGAAGCAGCC